CCCCUAGAUGUUCUGGGCCGCACGCGCGCUACACUGAACAGUUCAACAAGUCUUAACCUUGGCCGAUAGGUCUGGGUAAUCUUUGAACGCUGUUCGUGAUUGGGAUAGACCUUUGCAAUUAUGGGUCUUCAACGAGGAAUUCCUAGUAAACGCAAGUCAUCAGCUUGCAUUGAUUACGUCCCUGCCCUUUGUACACACCGCCGUCGCACCUACCGAUUGAAUGGUCCGGUGAAAUCUCGGGACGGCGGCUUGGUCGCUUGCGUCCGACUGCUGAAACUUGAUUAAACCAUAUCAUUUAGAGGAAGGUGAANUCGUAACA
RNAcentral lists this ribosomal RNA (319 nucleotides) under uncultured eukaryote. Its description in RNAcentral is "partial 18S ribosomal RNA". It matches the Rfam family "Eukaryotic small subunit ribosomal RNA", at positions 1470 to 1796 of the family's 1831-position model. The record is from RNAcentral.